Molecule: long non-coding RNA, 288 nt
Filed under: Brassica napus (rape)
Lineage: Eukaryota; Viridiplantae; Streptophyta; Magnoliopsida; Brassicales; Brassicaceae
Description: long non-coding RNA (BNAP_LNC013276)
Source: RNAcentral
AGCCGAACACCGGCUUUCAAGUCGACGAGCCGAUCUUCUUUGUUGUAAUCAUGUGUCUGGGUAAUUGUCUUGCGGGCCUUUUGGGAGGGCUAGGCCCAUACCCAACAGUAAGUCCCCCCAGUUCGCUGGUGAGUAGCGUAGCCGACUCAGCGAAUUUGAUAGUAGGGUUUGCGAGACAAUUAUCUCAAAUUUGUGAUUUCAAUCGACUCCUCGACUAUCCAAUCGACUCCUCGACUGUGCAGUGGACUUUGUAUGCUCGCGUUCGAGGAUCUGACUGAUUUGAUUUUG